UAAUUUUGUCUUGCAAUGCAUCAUCUUUCAGUUCUUUGACAUGAGCUCCUUGCAAGCUGCACUUCCGAAUUCACAACUGCCAUCCACCUUCCUUGGUGGUGCAACUCAAUUGUUGUUUCCUCAAGAUCCGGUGACUCCUUUUAUCCCUGCAGCGUCACAGGGUGGCGUAGUAUACCUGUCUGGGCAGGCACCAACCUCGCAAUUACCGAAUGUCCCAGCUCAAGGACAUGUUGCUUCUGUAGGAGGAAAUCCACGU
Mangifera indica (mango) is the source of this 256-nucleotide long non-coding RNA. RefSeq lists it as uncharacterized. The record is from RefSeq and is a predicted model, not a curated record. The transcript has 3 exons. Lineage: Eukaryota; Viridiplantae; Streptophyta; Magnoliopsida; Sapindales; Anacardiaceae.